GAGCCUUGACACGCGGCCUGUGGGCUUGAGCGCAUGCGCGGAGUAGCGGCUCGCUGAGGGGGUGGUGUCGCUGCGCGCGCAAUGGAGCGUCGGUGGCGGUUCGUUCCUGAGGCGGAGUCCGCCUCCAGCUGAGUCGUGGGUUGUGUUGGUUUUCUUGAGAGAAAGAUAGAAGGAAAAAGUUUGCUACUGUAAGGGUAGCACCAUUUUGGACCAAAUUGCCCAGAGAGAUGGUGGAAGCCCUGUUUCUGGAGCCAUUCAGGGUCAGGCUGGACCGGGCUUUGGACAUCCUGCUUUUAUUGUUUGCCACACAAAAGAACUGAAGUUUUGUUGCUGUUAGUUAUGGAAAUCCAGCUACCUUUGAGUACUGGAGUGAGAUGAAGUGGAGCUCUAAAUCAAUGAUUGAAAAUUUUUGAGCUGAAAGGCUCCCUUUCUCCCUCACUUGGAGGUAAUACAACUGGCAAUCACUAGCCAAAUGAUACUGCUGUUACCCACUUAUUGAUUUACAACCUUCUGAGCAGUGACUGCUGGCAUCCUUUUACUUGGCUGUGAGUUUGGAUGCUGAUCUCUUCAGAACCUAUCAGUGUCAUUCUCUGCAUUAUGAACAGAGCAGGCCUUUGAGGUAUUUCCCUGAAGAGAUUAAGUAUGAAUGUGAAGUACUGAAUUGCUUUUUGUUCGUUCCACUGAAAAUGCAGACCAACCUGAAUUAUUAGCGUAUGUCUAUAUGUCGAUAUUAUGCAAUAAGCAUAUGUCUAUAUAGUGAUAUUAUGCAAUAAACAAUGCAGAAUAUAUUUUUAUAAUUUAUCUUUUUUUGACUUGCAGAGAAGAGCAAAUAAAAAAAUGUUGUAAAAGCAACAAGCCUGAUUUCAGCAGCUCAGAAGCUGUUCAGUGGUGGCUCUCUGGUGAUCAUAAUCUAUGCUUCUUUGCUGUAAGUCUACAUAUGCUACUGUAGUAAAUGUUUUGUUUUUACUAACAGUUUGAAAGAGAACAAAACAAUAUUUUGCUUUGUAAAAUGAACAUAGAAGUUGCAACUUCUUAUGACCCACCUUAGGACCAUAAAGAAAAUACCUCCUGGGUCAGGUGAGAUGAAUCUGUGGGUAGUCUAUGGGAAACUAUGAAUCUCAGGGUAUGUUUGUAGUGCUUAGUGGAUGACAGAAAAUUUGGGGAAAUACAGCUACAGCGUUUUGUGGAUACACCAGCUCACGUCUGCAAGCAAUGAUGCUGUUCUGUUUUGCCAACUGGACAAUGUGUUUGCACUGAUUUCUGAACCAUGCUGACUCACCUGGGCAACUGACUGUGCCAACGAAUAAAAACAGAGCUUAUCUUUCGCACAGCACAGCUUUUCUGAAUCUGACAAUGCCAGAUCUUUGCUUACUGAAUCAAGCUCAUCGUGUAAUGUGAACUGGGACUUCUGAUGUUAUUAACUAGGGUGCUCUCACAACUAUUCUCUUACUUACAAAAUCCUGUGGCAUUCUUGCUUGUUGAGAACAAGCAUUUUUCCCAUUUUCCCUAACUGUGAGUUUGUAUGUGCUUAGUGAAAGGAACGUAUGAUAUUGUAUGUAGAAUGUCAUGGGGUUUUAGUGGAAACCUUCAUGAACGGUUGCAGAUAUGUUUGUAAUCCCUCGGAUAUGUCAUUUUACUUCUGUUUUUGUUAUUCAGAAACAAAUACAAUUUGUAUUUGUUUACAUAAUGUUUGUCCAAUCUUUGUCAAUAAAUUUGGCAGGGAUACAGGUCUGCGUACUUCAACUAAUUUCUAAAAAGGGUAUCAAUGGACAACCUACAGGCAAUCUUAUUGCAGCAUGCAACUUACUGUGUGAAUUGACCUGGGACAAACCUGCAAAGGACCUUAAUAUUUACUCUAGACAGUGAAAAGCAUUCUAUAAAAUUUCUGAAGGCUUCAGUAAAGUAGCAGACGUGGCAGGUGAAUCUUAGAAGACUGGCAUGCAUGUAUUGUUUUAGAGUUUCCAAAUGUGUUUAAAACAUUUAAAGUGAAACUGAGCAAGAGUGAGUGUACUCACUUUGGUCACAUUAUGUGAUCCAAGGAGAAGUUCUGACAUCUUUUACCUAUGAAUGACCUAACUAUGAAUGACAUAAGAUAAUCAAGAUCUGAAAGGAGGUUGUGUUUUAGUAUUGGGUUUUUUGUUUGGCUUUUUUUUUUGAGAUUCAGGCCAAGGAUAGCAUUAAAGUGUCAGUGUUUGACUUAGAAUCAUGAAAUCAUUUGAGUUGGAAGGGACCCUUAAAGGUCAUCUAGUCCAACUCCCUUGCAAUGAACAGGGACACCUACAGCUAGAUCAGAUUGCUCAGAGCCUGGUCCAGCCUAACCUUGAAUGGCUUCAAGGAGAGAGCAUCCACCACAGCUUUGGGCAACUUGUUCCAGUCUCUCACCACCCUAACUGUAAAAAGCUUCCUUAUAUCCAGUCUAAAUCUCCUCUUUUUUAGUUUGAAACCAUUUCUCCUUGACCCUCAACCUGCUGACCUUGCUUCUUUGGAUGCAGCCCAGGAUAUGGAUACUUGUUAUGAGGAUUUUUAAUUUAUUUAAAUAAAUUUGCUUCCUAUUGAAAAAUACUCUGAAAAUGCAAUGCUUUCUCUCAUGUUCACCAUCUCCAACCUAGCAAUUCUUAAAUGGUGUUCUUUGGUCUGAAAAAAGGUAAGCAAGUGAUGCGCCAGUAACACAAAAAUUAGCUUAAAAUGCACUGAUUCAGCUAGUGAUUUAAAUGAUAGCCACACACUCAUGUCUCAAACGUAGCUUACCACAGACAUAUGCAUGGGAGAUUAUGACUUCAGUAGGUAGAAGAUGUUUAUGUAAAAAGUACUAAGAUGAGGUUUUGUUUUACAUCAUUAUUUGAUAUGUACAAGAAAAAUGACUCUGAAUAAUUCUGAAUGCAUAGAAAAAAAAACAGCAGCAGCAAAAAAGGCUUUAGUGUGAUACUGUGGGUGCAUUUACUGAAACAAAUAUAGUAUUUCCUGAAAAGGAGUUACAUUUGUAUUACCUAUGAAUCAAAAGGUGCUGCUACGUGUGAGGUGGAAGAACUAAAGAUUGUAUACCUUUCCAAUGAAGUAUAGCAGUGAUAUUUCCUUUUGAGUCAGCUCAGUAACCUGAGCAUUAAAUCCUUCCUCGAAGAAAGUACAUUAAAAAACAUAAGCUAAGUUAGAAAACCAGAGUUGUCUUUUAAAAAGUGAUAGAUACAAUAUGCUUAGGUAAUACAGACUUCAUGUUGUAUGUGGCAUGCUUGGGCACUGGAACAUGCUCCCCAGGGCAGUGGUUGUGGCACUGAGCUGCUGGAGUUCAUGAAGCAUUUGGACAGUGUGGUCAGACAUAGCAUUUGAUUUUGAAAGGCCCUCUGUGGGGCCAGGGUUGGGCUCGGUGAUCCUUGUGGAUCCCUUCCAGCUUGGGAUAUUCUAUGAUUAGCCAGUGAGUCCUCAACCAAAUUGCUUUUGCUAUGCUACCAGAGAGGUAACCUCUGCAGUAACUCCUUGUUCUCAGCAGUGUGAAGUGGCACAGUGACACCCUGGCUUUCAGGCAGCUCUGUAACUCCUGAAUGGGCAACGCGCUGUUUAACCUGAGGUACCUUGGAAGUUGAUCCUGCUUUAUGCACAAGUAGAACAAGAUGACCUCCAGCAUGCUGUUCCAACCUACGUUAGUCUGUGACUAAUAAGGAUUCCCAGCCGUGCAAGGUUACUGCAGACAUGAACCAGAGGUAUGGGUUCUGCAGGCUUUUUCACACCUUAUCUGUACUCAAGGUGAAUGAAAAAGAAGGCAAGAAGGUCAGCGUUGAAUGCAUGCUGUCUUCAUGUAGAACACUUUUCAGUAUCAUUCACAAAAAUAAAAUCAUGUAUAUGGGCAGAUAGCUAAUUUCUAAGAUUACAAACAGAUAUAUAUGGUAAAAAUGUAAGCAAUAUCUCACUGAAAACUAACAAAAAAUUAUAUUUAUCCCUGAAUUUGUGAUAAAGCUGGGUUCCAUACUGGAAUUACUCAGCUUUCUUUCUGUUUUCCAAUUUACUUGAUCGUAACUUCCUAGAGUAACUGAAGUUAAGUCAAACGUGCUGCCUGUACUGGUCAUUUACAUUUGCUAAUCUGGUAUUAACACCAUCAUACUGAUAACUAUCUCUGACAGUUAUUAUAAAGAAUUUAUUAUAACAGAUAUAUGUAGACGUCCUGAAAGAAUUAAUGUUAAAUAAUAGAUAUACUGUAGGUCUACUAAGAGAAUAGAAAAGAGAUGCUAGUACUGCAGUCCCAACAAACCUUUCCAAAGAAGUCUUUCUAAAAUUCCUUCCAAAGAAAAUGUAAGCUCCCAUCUUCCCUAGGUUUUUACUAUGAAACUGUGGUUCUCAGAAACUUUCUUAAAAGAAUGCAAUUCUGAAAUCUCUGGAUAACUUUAAUACUGCUAUUUCUUAUCAACUGGGGGAAGAGAUGAUAAUUAUUUUAAAUACAUCUCUAUUUAAAUAAAAUGGCAUAUUUUUAUGUUUUAAACAUCAAUUCAAAAUGUUUCAGUGUCUGCUAGUCCUCAGUUAUGGUUGCACAUAGUCAUGGGCUACUACAACUGGUGACUGUUCAAUAGAUCAAAUUCUGAUAUUUCGUUUACCAUUAGGACUCUGCAGCCUUCAAUGUGACUAUAUUGCUGUACACUACUUCUGUCCUCUCCUACCAAUAUAAUUCAUAUUCUGUUUUUUCCUUUUGCCAGAAAAUGAUGUACAGUGUUAGUAGUUUGUACAUGCAUGCAUCUCUUUAUUGAAACAUUUCAGGUACAUAGACUCCUGGUUUGUACUAGCUGCUUUGACUAACCUGUAUUUUGAUCUUCUGUUCUGACAGCCUGAGAAUUAUUCCCUUGACUUCUUUGCCAUUUUAAAUCUGAAAUAACACUUGAACAGUCUUCAUGUCAACUAUCCCUCUGAAUUUACAGUUUUCAUCUUUAACCUGUCUGCGGUGAACAAUUUUUCUUCCCUCUAGUAUUUUUCCCUAGUCUUUGGUGUGUCUCAGACAGACUCCAAGGCCAACAGAUCCUUCCUUAUAUUAAGAGCUAGAGAAACAAUUCAAAUAUUUACAUUUCUUGCCACAAUUUGCUAUUGUAAGUUUAAGUUCCCAGUUCUUCUGAUUACUGUGCUUCCUAGCGUACUUAAUCCAAGACCAUAAAAUGCAGUAAAUUAAUGCUGGAAGCACAUGUCUCAGAUCAAGGCUUCAUAACAAGUGUGAGUAUCUAACUUGCCACUUAGAGGACAAAUAACUUUCAUAGAAUCAUAGAAUCAUGCAAUGGCCUGGGUUGAAAAGGACCAUAAUGAUCAUCUAGUUUCAACCCCCCUGCUAUGUGUGGGGUCGCCAACCACCAAACCAGGCUGCCCAGAGCCACAUCCAGCCUGGUCUUGAAUGCCUCCAGAGAUGGGGCAUCCACAGCCUCCUUGGGCAACCUCUUCCAGUACAUAUUUCCAUUCAUAGGUUUUAUGAAAACACACAUGGAAUGGCAUUAAAUCUUCGUGUAAUGGAAGAAUCACUGAUCACAUACCUUUAAGUUAUUAAAAUGAACUAAGAAGAUAAAUGAAAUUACAGGGAAAAUGCUUGUUUUAUAUUUUAUGAAGACUUUACAACCCUUUUAUGAACAUGUUUUUCCGAUAGAAUGUUGAGAAGUGCUUCAAGAAAAAAAAUGAAUUCUAAGAGAAAUGUGUAAGCAUUGUUUACAUAUUGGAAACUAUUCUAAAUACAUCUUCAUGAUGACCAGCACUGCUGAAAUAAUGCCUCCACCAAGUGUGUAGGGCUUGCAGAAUUGUAUGGUUGAGUGAGAAGAUCAAUUGGAAAGGAGAUACUCAAGAGAAGACAAUGAAGCAGUAUUCCAUCUGUACCAAAGUGGUGCUACUAACUCAGGUGUUUAUAGAACUAGAGGUGAAUAAGAAAGAGUUUGAAAAAAAAGUCCCAACCAAGAGUUGGAGUCUAUCUCAGAAAGGACCAAAUCGGACUAAAAACACAGCAGCACAUAAGCAAUAUUUGGUUUGUGAAUUCAGACUUCAAAGUAUCCAGGUCAGCCUGUUGAAAUGAAUCCAAGUAAGGUCCAGUAAGAAGUGGCAACCCAGAAAGCGCUAACAGUUCAGAACUUGCUAUGAUUUUCAGUGAAGUGUUGGAGGUCAGUUAUAAAAGAAAGGUUCAGACUUGCAGACAGCUGUGAGAGCCCGAUAGAGGUGCUGAACAUUGAUCCUGAUCUACACUUCUCUCCAUUUUCCAUCUAUAUCCCACAAAGAUCAGAUGAAAGAGAUGAAAGAGUCUGAGAUCAAAUAGUACAGAAAUCACUUUUUUUUUUUCAUCUUGGAAAGGGAGACUUCCUGGAAGACUUUUUGUUGUUGCUAUUGGAGCUUUUUUGUUGUUUUUAGUUGAUUGGUUGGUCUUUAAAAUUACAUCCCAAAGGCUAAAAGAUGGACAAAAAAGGAAAAAAAAAAAGUUAUGUCACGUGGAUCAAUUCUAAUAUUACUUCAGAUUAAUUUCUCAAGAGACACUACAAUUCUAAACUUUAUACAACGCUAAGAUGGGGAUUUGGAUCAAGAUGGACCUCAAUUAUCCAUAUACACAUAAAAGUCAGUCCUGAAGGAAAAGACAAAGUAUGCCCUAAAAAACUUUGCAGACUUCAGUAGUUUGACUUCUAGACACAAUCAGAAGUGCUCAAGAUAAAGUGAUGGUGGGAUAAAUUCUAUUUGGUAGGGGUGGGCAAAUUAAGAUUACCUGAAAGAAAGCAAAAGUUUUUUUGUGCGGUGAUGGGAAGAAGAAAAUAUUGCUACAAUGCAUGUCACCAGGUGGCAGUGUUACACAGUCUUGCAGCUCCUAUGCUCUGUAAGAAAAUUUGGGGUCUUGGAAGGAAUACUGAUGGGGAUAUUUGUUAGUUUUUGUUAGGCAGAAGGAAUUUCCAGCCUCUCUUUGCCCUGAUUUUCCUGGAUCAAAAUCGAUUCUUGGGAUGAUAUUGCAGUCUGGGGACUUGAACAUUGGCAUGGGCACCACAGUCUUGAAACAAGAAUGUAUUGUAUCCUAUUAGGUUGCUCUUUAAUGGGAAAAACAAAGACCAAAUGCGAAUUCAGUAGAGAUAUCCUUGACAUGAUUGACGCUGACUGAGUCUGUAGCACUUCGACUUGUACCAGAAUCUGGAAAAGUGUAAGUGGAUGUGUACAGAUAAUCAAAUAAAUGCAUUCAACUUUUUCUAUGAUAAGGGUAGUGAAGCUUUAGGACAGAUUGCCCGGAGAUGUGGUGGAAGUCCCGUCCCUUGGAGACGUCCAAGGUCAGGCUGGACCGGGCUCUGAGCAACCUGAUGUAGCUGUAGGUGUCCCUGUUCACUGCAGGGGAUUCGGACUAGAUGACCUUUAAGAGUCCCUUCCAACUCAAAUGAUUCUAUGAUUCUAAGAUUCCAUGAUAUGCCUUUGGUCUCUAACAAGUCAACAAAAGCAGCUCUGUACUCUGGAGUUUGCAUCGUAAGUACUGCGGGACUCAAAGGGCUGGAGACUGCCAGGAAUGUGCAUCAGCAGGUCUAGGUUUUUCUCUGCCUGCAACAGAAGUGGAAGAGCCAGUUGCUGUGUCUGUCCUGAUAAAUGCUGUCUGUGUGUGGCAGAUUUCAGUUGUAGAACGAGCAUAUACAAACGACCCUAUGUUCAGUUUUUUUGGGGAUUACAAAAAAAAAGCACCUUGCAUUUCAUAUUCUUUGCCUUCUCCCUUUGCUGCAGGACCAGUGUUUGCUCCUUGUCAUUUGAUCUUGCACUUACUCAAGUAACUUCCCACUCACCGACUCUCACCUGGCGUAUUGUGAAGCUGUGCACAUCU
Long non-coding RNA from Gallus gallus (chicken), 7780 nucleotides. RefSeq lists it as uncharacterized. NCBI's taxonomy places the organism in Eukaryota, Metazoa, Chordata, Aves, Galliformes, Phasianidae. The record is from RefSeq and is a predicted model, not a curated record. The transcript has 4 exons.